CAAUAGCGUAUAUUAAAGUUGUUGCAGUUAAAAAGCUCGUAGUUGGAUUUCGGGAUGGCCCGGCCGGUCUGCCGCAAGGUAUGUUACUGGCCGAGCUGUUCUUCUUCGCAAAGACUGUGUGUGCUCUUAACUGAGUGUGCUCAGGAUCUGUGACGUUUACUUUGAAAAAAUUAGAGUGUUCAAAGCAAGCCAGCGCUUGAAUACAUAAGCAUGGAAUAAUGGAAUAGGACUUUGGUUCUAUUUUGUUGGUUUCUGGAACCUUAGUAAUGAUUAAGAGAGACAGUUGGGGGCAUUCGUAUUUCGUUGUCAGAGGUGAAAUUCUUGGAUUUACGAAAGACGAACUACUGCGAAAGCAUUUGCCAAGAAUGUUUUCAUUAG
This 378-nucleotide ribosomal RNA is filed under the name uncultured eukaryote. Its description in RNAcentral is "partial 18S ribosomal RNA". It matches the Rfam family "Eukaryotic small subunit ribosomal RNA", at positions 592 to 976 of the family's 1831-position model. The record is from RNAcentral.